GGAUAACAUUUGGAAACAGAUGCUAAUACCGCAUAGAUCCAAGAACCGCAUGGUUCUUGGCUGAAAGAUGGCGUAAGCUAUCGCUUUUGGAUGGACCCGCGGCGUAUUAGCUAGUUGGUGAGGUAAUGGCUCACCAAGGCGAUGAUACGUAGCCGAACUGAGAGGUUGAUCGGCCACAUUGGGACUGAGACACGGCCCAAACUCCUACGGGAGGCAGCAGUAGGGAAUCUUCCACAAUGGACGCAAGUCUGAUGGAGCAACGCCGCGUGAGUGAAGAAGGCUUUCGGGUCGUAAAACUCUGUUGUUGGAGAAGAAUGGUCGGCAGAGUAACUGUUGUCGGCGUGACGGUAUCCAACCAGAAAGCCACGGCUAACUACGUGCCAGCAGCCGCGGUAAUACGUAGGUGGCAAGCGUUAUCCGGAUUUAUUGGGCGUAAAGCGAGCGCAGGCGGUUUUUUAAGUCUGAUGUGAAAGCCCUCGGCUUAACCGAGGAAGCGCAUCGGAAACUGGGAAACUUGAGUGCAGAAGAGGACAGUGGAACUCCAUGUGUAGCGGUGAAAUGCGUAGAUAUAUGGAAGAACACCAGUGGCGAAGGCGGCUGUCUGGUCUGUAACUGACGCUGAGGCUCGAAAGCAUGGGUAGCGAACAGGAUUAGAUACCCUGGUAGUCCAU
Molecule: ribosomal RNA, 671 nt
Filed under: uncultured bacterium
Lineage: Bacteria
Description: bacterial SSU rRNA
Rfam family: Bacterial small subunit ribosomal RNA
Source: RNAcentral